Molecule: antisense RNA, 75 nt
Filed under: Streptomyces sp. CEV 2-1
Lineage: Bacteria; Bacillati; Actinomycetota; Actinomycetes; Kitasatosporales; Streptomycetaceae
Description: ASpks TB sRNA
Rfam family: ASpks TB sRNA
Source: RNAcentral
CUUCAACGACCCCAACCACAGCGGAUCGCCCUCCGGACGCCCCUGCCCAUACGUCGCCAGCAGCGCCUGCGCCUC